This 429-nucleotide ribosomal RNA is filed under the name Triticum aestivum (bread wheat). Its description in RNAcentral is "partial small subunit ribosomal RNA". The record is from RNAcentral. Lineage: Eukaryota; Viridiplantae; Streptophyta; Magnoliopsida; Poales; Poaceae.
AUGGCCGGCUGUGCUGCCGCGCAGGCCUCACCGCCCCACCUUACUCCCAUCACUGGCCUAGCCAUCCCUCUACUCACCCACACCUGUUGUUAUUCUCCGACGACGGCAGACGAACCAGUAAACCCUCGUACAGUCGUACUCCCCUCUGCGUGGGAAACAACUGCCGAGUCUUCCCUGCCUCCGUGUCAUUCCCUUCCUAGGUCUCGCCGUCGUCCACCGCCCUGGUGCUUUCGGCACUGCCUGGUCAACGUGGUCAACGACCGACAAGCAUCUGAAGUGGACUGUACGUGGAGAGACCGACAGUUGGGUCCAUGGCCGCACGCAAGAAAAUGCCUCCCUAUUACGUGCAAAAUAAUGAUUCCUCCACCUGACAUCAAGGACCCACCGAAAGGGCCUCUGUAUUUCGCGAAAAAACGUUACCGCCGCUGA